UACAAGUGGCGGCGGUGGUGGCGCACGAGGGAUGUUGGUGUGGCCCAGCAUCGUUGCUCUUUCAUUAGGAACAUUUUGUCGGUUUAUCACUUCUCUUUAACUCCGUCUUUACAAAAAAGUAUAUACUUUGAAGAGUAGAUAAAUAUAGGGAGAAAUAUAUAAUAAAAAGAAGUUAUAAUAAGUGUACGGUGUGCUCUGCUGAGCGGUCGCCCGUUAUACGAAUCAUUGUUGAAUUAAUUCUUAAUAAUAGGUACGAACAUAAAUAAUAACGUGAUAAUGGCGCUAAACCCGAUGUAUCGGGAGAUCGGCGAAGGUUUCGUCAAGCAGUAUUAUCAGUUAUUCGACGACCCGGUUCAGAGGCCAAGCCUUAUAAACAUGUACAACGAGCAAACGUCGUUCAUGUCGUUCGAGGGAUUGCAGCUCCAGGGUGCUGCUAAGAUAAUGGACAAACUCAAUAGUCUGCCGUUCCAAAACAUCACUAGAGUCAUAACGACCAUAGAUUGUCAACCAAUGUUCGACGGUGGAGUUCUAAUUAAAGUGCUAGGAAGGCUGAAGACCGAUGAGGAUCAGCCCCAUGCGUACACCCAGACAUUUGUUCUGAAGCCGAUUGGCACCAGCUUUUUCGUGCAGCACGACGUCUUCAGACUCGCGUUGCACGACAGCGCCUAAGGUGGUUAAACGACAGUGUCGAUCGUUGUGGCGAAUCUUCCUGAAUCGUGGUAAUUGCCAGGCGGAUGACGAUCCACCUCAUCCAUUCUCGCAGAUAUUCGUGUUGUCGCCGUUGGCGAACUCAUACUUCUGUCAGCACGAUAUCUUCCGUCUCGGUAUCCACAACUCUGAGUAAAAAGUGAAGUAAAAAUUUUGUAAUAUUCACAAUCACUUGUCAAGAACAGAGAACAUAAUAAAACGAAAAGGACGUUUUGAGGUUCGUCGAUUGAGCGGUAAAACGAA
This 951-nucleotide unclassified non-coding RNA is filed under the name Venturia canescens. RNAcentral describes it as "probable nuclear transport factor 2, transcript variant X1". Lineage: Eukaryota; Metazoa; Arthropoda; Insecta; Hymenoptera; Ichneumonidae. The record is from RNAcentral.